Populus nigra (black poplar) is the source of this 1842-nucleotide long non-coding RNA. RefSeq lists it as uncharacterized. The transcript is spliced from 2 exons. Lineage: Eukaryota; Viridiplantae; Streptophyta; Magnoliopsida; Malpighiales; Salicaceae. The record is from RefSeq and is a predicted model, not a curated record.
UGAGCUCCAAGAAAUGGAAGCAAACCAGAAAAGGCUGCAUAGAGAAACAAGAAGUCAGCCUUCAAGUCAGCUAAAAGGGCAAGGGACAAAAUCAAAUUAGCUGCUCCUGUUGAAGAUGACGAGGUCAGCUCAUUGUUUCUUGAACCAAAUAACAGAGUGGAAGGCAGUCAAGGCUGCAGAAAAAUAAAGCAGCUUAAGGGAAAUGGCAGUUUGGGGAGGAGGGGGGGGGGGUGUUCAGUGGAAGAUAGACAGCACACCAGAUUCGGGGAUUCAGAUGGGGAAUGUCCGUUUUUUAAAAAGGGAAGACAAUAUAGAAGAUGCAGAUCAAACAGAGGAGCUUAGGCUUAUGAUCUAUGCUGGGAGGCUUUAUAUAUUGGUGGAGGAACGAACCUAAAUAGCUUCAUGGGAGAUAUUAAUACUCAGAUAACAAGGGAGAAGGAGGAUUGGCGAGCUGCUCAAUAGCUUGCCCCUUUGCUUUGAUCAAUUAGUUAUUUCCUCAAUUUUUAUAAAUUCUUUGUCUUGGAAUAUUAGAGGUUUGGGUUCUUUGGGGAAAAGGAAUGCUUUGUCAAAGUCUCUUUUGCAUCAUAAGAUUGAUUGUUGCUUAUUGUUAAAAACAAAAUUGGAAAAUUGUACUGAUGCUAUGGUGCACAGAAUCUGGAAUCAUUUAGAUAUCAAAUGAACUGCUGUUGACUCAGUAGGGCGUUCGGGUGGUUUACUGGCCAAGUGGGAUGACUCCAAGUUCAGAGUCACCUCGGUUGAUUGUGGCAAUGGGUGGAUUGCUCUUAGCAGAGAAAAUGUCCAUACCAGUUUCAGAUUUUUUUGUUAACGUCGCAACUUAGAUUAUGGAACACUAGCACCUACAGCCUGAAUCAAGAGAAGAAACUGAUGGAUAUUCAGGUGACCAUUGCAGACCUCGUUAGGUGAGGUUAGUCAAAUUGUGGAGAGUAUCUCGUCAACAAUGGUGUAGUCUCAGUGAUCAGAAUACUAAGUUUUUCCACUUAAUGGCUAACAGACGGGGCCAUAAAAAGUUCAUCAUGGAGGUUCGUCAUGCAAACAGGAUUCACAGAACGCCAAGUGAGAUAAAAUCAUCAGCUACCUCUUAUUUCACCAAUUUAUUUAGCAGACCAAAUAUGAGAAGAGCAGUUAUAAGGGAUAUGGGCUUCAAGAGGUUGAGUACGGGUCAGUCAGCCUUUUUAGAGAGACCAAUUACUCUUGAUGAAGUUCAUGAGGCGGUUUGGGAUUGUGACAGAACAAAAUCACCGGGGCCGGAUGGUUUCAACUUCAGAUUUUACAGGAAAGUCCGGCACCUUAUCUGUCAUGAUUUGUUUUCUCUUGUAAAUGAAUUUUUCAGGACAGAACGAAUGCCAAGAGGAGUCAAUCAUUCAUAUGUAGCUCUGAUUGCUAAGAAACUGGAAGCAACAACUUCCUCGGACUUUAGACCGAUUAGUAUGGUGAGUGGUGGUAUCUACAAAAUAUUGUCUAAAAUUCUUUCCAAUCGGCUAAAGGGUGUCAUGCAGGACUUGAUCAGUGAUAACCAAACAGCCUUCAUUGCCGGAAGACAAAUUGUAGAUGGUUAUAUGAUAGCAAACGAGGCGAUUCAUUCUCUUAAAUUAAUCAUCAGGCCACUCAUGUAUGAUUUUUAAGGUGGAUUUCCACAAGGCAUUUGACUCUCUUCUCUGAGAAUACCUUCUGGAUAUUAUGGGUUAUAUGGGGUUCACUGAGAAGUGGAGGAGCCUCCUCAUCUACUAGUGCUUUUCAACCUCAAAACUCUCUGUCCUUAUCAAUGUUCUCCAACUCAAGAAUUUGGUGUUACUUUAAAAAAAAACUCUCUGUCCUCAUCUA